UUGCUGUUCGAACUGUAGGGCUUGAGUACGCACGAGGUAAGCGGAAUUUGUGGUGUAGCGGUGAAAUGCGCAGAUAUCAAGAGGAACACCGAUGGCGAAGGCAGGUCUCUGGGCAUUAACUGACGCUGAGGAGCGAAAGCAUGGGGAGCGAACAGGAUUAGAUACCCUGGUAGUCCAUGCCGUAAACGUUGGGCACUAGGUGUGGGGGACAUUCCACGUUUUCCGCGCCGUAGCUAACGCAUUAAGUGCCCCGCCUGGGGAGUACGGCCGCAAGGCUAAAACUCAAAGGAAUUGACGGGGGCCCGCACAAGCGGCGGAGCAUGCGGAUUAAUUCGAUGCAACGCGAAGAACCUUACCAAGGCUUGACAUGGACCGGACCGGGCUGGAAACAGUCCUUCCCCUUUGGGGCCGGUUCACAGGUGGUGCAUGGUUGUCGUCAGCUCGUGUCGUGAGAUGUUGGGUUAAGUCCCGCAACGAGCGCAACCCUCGUUCCAUGUUGCCAGCGCGUAAUGGCGGGGACUCAUGGGAGACUGCCUACGCAAGUAGGAGGAAGGUGAGGACGACGUCAAGUCAUCAUGGCCCUUACGUCCAGGGCUACACACGUG
RNAcentral lists this ribosomal RNA (605 nucleotides) under uncultured bacterium. RNAcentral describes it as "bacterial SSU rRNA". It matches the Rfam family "Bacterial small subunit ribosomal RNA", at positions 621 to 1224 of the family's 1533-position model. The record is from RNAcentral.